Molecule: ribosomal RNA, 487 nt
Filed under: uncultured bacterium
Lineage: Bacteria
Description: partial 16S ribosomal RNA
Rfam family: Bacterial small subunit ribosomal RNA
Source: RNAcentral
GACGAACGCUGGCCGCGUGCUUAACACAUGCAAGUCGUACGAUGACCCGGCUCUUCGGAGCUGGUGAUUAGUGGCGAACGGGUGAGUAACACGUGGGUGACCUGCCCUGCACUCUGGGAUAAGCCCGGGAAACUGGGUCUAAUACUGGAUACGACCAGUGGCCGCAUGGUCUGCUGGUGGAAAGCCCUUCGGGGUGGUGUGGGAUGGGCCCGCGGCCUAUCAGCUUGUUGGUGGGGUGAUGGCCUACCAAGGCGACGACGGGUAGCCGGCCUGAGAGGGUGUCCGGCCACACUGGGACUGAGACACGGCCCAGACUCCUACGGGAGGCAGCAGUGGGGAAUCUUGCACAAUGGGCGAAAGCCUGAUGCAGCGACGCCGCGUGAGGGAUGACGGCCUUCGGGUUGUAAACCUCUUUCGGCAGGGAACAAGCCUGGGGGUUUUCUUCUGGGUGAGGGUACCUGCGGAAGAAGCACCGGCUAACUACGUG